UCCGUAGGCGGCCGUGUGUGUCGGGUGUGAAAUCCUGCAGCUUAACUGUAGAACCGCGCUCGAAACUACACGGCUAGAGUAUUGGAGAGGUGAGUGGAAUUCCAGGUGUAGCGGUGAAAUGCGUAGAUAUCUGGAGGAACACCAACGGCGAAGGCAGCUCACUGGACAAUUACUGACGCUGAGGGACGAAAGCGUGGGGAGCGAAAG
Molecule: ribosomal RNA, 207 nt
Filed under: uncultured bacterium
Lineage: Bacteria
Description: partial 16S ribosomal RNA
Rfam family: Bacterial small subunit ribosomal RNA
Source: RNAcentral